This 732-nucleotide ribosomal RNA is filed under the name uncultured bacterium. Its description in RNAcentral is "bacterial SSU rRNA". It matches the Rfam family "Bacterial small subunit ribosomal RNA", at positions 47 to 784 of the family's 1533-position model. The record is from RNAcentral.
GAUUAGGCAUGCAAGUCGAACGAAUCCCACCUGGGCAACUGGGUGGGGGAAGUGGCGAAAGGGGCAGUAAGGCGUGGGUAACCUGCCCCGGAGUUGGGGAUAGCCUCUCUAACGAGAGGGUAACAGACCGAUGUCCUGGCGGAGGGGAUCUCUCUGUCAAGAAAGCUCAGGCGCUCCGGGAGGGGCCCACGUGGUAUUAGCUAGUUGGUGAGGUAACGGCUCACCAAGGCCAAGAUGCCUAGCAGGUGUGAGAGCACGACCUGCGCCACUGGCACUGGGACACUGGCCAGACUCCUACGGGAGGCUGCAGUCGAGGAUCUUCGGCAAUGGGCGCAAGCCUGACCGAGCGACGCCGCGUGUGCGAUGAAGGCCUUCGGGUUGUAAAGCACUGUCGAGGGGGAGAAAAGCCGCAAGGCGUGAUCGACCCCUGGAGGAAGCACGGGCUAAGUUCGUGCCAGCAGCCGCGGUAAGACGAACCGUGCGAACGUUGUUCGGAAUCACUGGGCUUAAAGGGCGCGUAGGCGGGCUCACAAGUCAGGGGUGAAAUCCCACGGCUCAACCGUGGAAGUGCCUUUGACAGAUGUGGGUCUGGAGGGAGGUAGGGGCGUGCGGAACUUCCGGUGGAGCGGUGAAAUGCGUAGAUAUCGGAAGGAACACCGGUGGCGAAAGCGGCGCGCUGGACCUCUUCUGACGCUGAGGCGCGAAAGCCAGGGGAGCAAACGGGAUUAGACA